UGGGGAAUCUUGCGCAAUGGGCGAAAGCCUGACGCAGCCAUGCCGCGUGGAUGAUGAAGGUCUUAGGAUUGUAAAAUCCUUUCACCGGGGACGAUAAUGACGGUACCCGGAGAAGAAGCCCCGGCUAACUUCGUGCCAGCAGCCGCGGUAAUACGAAGGGGGCUAGCGUUGCUCGGAAUUACUGGGCGUAAAGGGCGCGUAGGCGGGUCGUCAAGUUGGGGGUGAAAGCCCGGGGCUCAACCUCGGAAUUGCCUUCAAAACUGACGACCUAGAGUAUGGCAGAGGUGUGUGGAACUCCGAGUGUAGAGGUGAAAUUCGUAGAUAUUCGGAAGAACACCAGUGGCGAAGGCGACACACUGGGCCAUUACUGACGCUGAGGCGCGAAAGCGUGGGGAGCAAACAGGAUUAGAUACCCCGGUAGUCC
RNAcentral lists this ribosomal RNA (424 nucleotides) under uncultured bacterium. RNAcentral describes it as "bacterial SSU rRNA". It matches the Rfam family "Bacterial small subunit ribosomal RNA", at positions 355 to 796 of the family's 1533-position model. The record is from RNAcentral.